GAGUUUGAUCCUGGCUCAGGAUGAACGCUAGCGGCAGGCCUAACACAUGCAAGUCGAACGGUAACAGCAGAGCUUGCUCUGGCUGACGAGUGGCGCACGGGUGCGUAACGCGUAUACAAUCUGCCUAUUACUGGGGUAUAGCCCGAAGAAAUUUGGAUUAACCCCCCAUAGUAUUGAGAUAAGGCACCUUAUUUCAAUUAAAACCACGGUGGUAAUAGAUGAGUAUGCGUCCUAUUAGUUUGUUGGUAAGGUAACGGCUUACCAAGACUUCGAUAGGUAGGGGUCCUGAGAGGGAGAUCCCCCACACUGGUACUGAGACACGGACCAGACUCCUACGGGAGGCAGCAGUGAGGAAUAUUGGACAAUGGAGGCAACUCUGAUCCAGCCAUGCCGCGUGCAGGAAGACUGCCCUAUGGGUUGUAAACUGCUUUUAUAGAGGAAGAAACCUCCCUUCGUGAAGGGAAUUGACGGUACUCUACGAAUAAGGAUCGGCUAACUCCGUGCCAGCAGCCGCGGUAAUACGGAGGAUCCAAGCGUUAUCCGGAAUCAUUGGGUUUAAAGGGUCCGUAGGCGGACUAAUAAGUCAGUGGUGAAAGUCUGCAGCUCAACUGUAGAAUUGCCAUUGAUACUGUUAGUCUUGAGUCAUUAUGAAGUGGUUAGAAUGAGUGGUGUAGCGGUGAAAUGCAUAGAUAUCACUCAGAAUACCGAUUGCGAAGGCAGAUCACUAAUAAUGUACUGACGCUGAUGGACGAAAGCGUAGGUAGCGAACAGGAUUAGAUACCCUGGUAGUCUACGCCGUAAACGAUGGUUACUAGCUGUUUGGUCGAUUGAGACUGAGUGGCUAAGCGAAAGUGAUAAGUAACCCACCUGGGGAGUACGUUCGCAAGAAUGAAACUCAAAGGAAUUGACG
This 910-nucleotide ribosomal RNA is filed under the name uncultured bacterium. RNAcentral describes it as "bacterial SSU rRNA". It matches the Rfam family "Bacterial small subunit ribosomal RNA", at positions 9 to 915 of the family's 1533-position model. The record is from RNAcentral.